CAGGCCUAACACAUGCAAGUCGAACGAGAACCCAUUCUUCGGAUUGGGGGACAGUGGCGAACGGGUGAGUAACGCGUUGGUGACCUGCCCCGAAGUGAGGGACAACCACGGGAAACCGUGGCUAAUACCGCAUAUGCUCCAGGGGGUUAGAGGCCCCUGGAGUAAAGCUCCGGCGCUUCGGGAGGGGCCUGCGACCUAUCAGCUAGUUGGUGGGGUAAUGGCCUACCAAGGCUAAGACGGGUAGGGGGCGUGAGAGCGUGGCCCCCCACAAUGGAACUGAGACACGGUCCAUACUCCUACGGGAGGCAGCAGUGAGGGAUAUUGCGCAAUGGGGGAAACCCUGACGCAGCAACGCCGCGUGGGUGAUGAAGGCUACUCGGGUAGUAAAACCCUUUUAUGGGGGAAGAGAAAGGACGGGACCUACAGGAAUAAGGUACCCGGCUAACGACGUGCCAGCAGCCGCGGUAA
This 468-nucleotide ribosomal RNA is filed under the name uncultured bacterium. Its description in RNAcentral is "bacterial SSU rRNA". It matches the Rfam family "Bacterial small subunit ribosomal RNA", at positions 43 to 523 of the family's 1533-position model. The record is from RNAcentral.